AUAUUCUCCGAAAAGGGGGGGAUGAGAACCCCCGACCGGGGUUCGACAACUGGCAACGCCAGUUGGACAGACCGCGAGCCUGCGAGCGGGCUGCCCCGCAGGGGCGAGCGAAGCGAGUCAAUCCCCCCCUCACCGCCA
RNAcentral lists this small RNA (138 nucleotides) under Klebsiella pneumoniae. RNAcentral describes it as "RtT sRNA". It matches the Rfam family "RtT RNA". Rfam says of the family: This family represents a bacterial cis-regulatory element known as RtT RNA. Lineage: Bacteria; Pseudomonadati; Pseudomonadota; Gammaproteobacteria; Enterobacterales; Enterobacteriaceae. The record is from RNAcentral.